This 348-nucleotide unclassified non-coding RNA is filed under the name soil metagenome. RNAcentral describes it as "partial contains 5.8S ribosomal RNA, internal transcribed spacer 2, and large subunit ribosomal RNA". The stretch from base 1 to 120 matches the Rfam family "5.8S ribosomal RNA", at positions 35 to 154 of the family's 154-position model. The record is from RNAcentral.
GAUGAAGAACGCAGCGAAAUGUGAUAAGUAAUGUGAAUUGCAGAAUUCAGUGAAUCAUCGAAUCUUUGAACGCACAUUGCGCCCGCCAGUAUUCUGGCGGGCAUGCCUGUCUGAGCGUCAUUUCAACCCUCAUGCCCCUAGGGCGUGGUGUUGGGGAUCGGCCAAAGCCCGCGAGGGACGGCCGGCCCCUAAAUCUAGUGGCGGACCCGUCGUGGCCUCCUCUGCGAAGUAGUGAUAUUCCGCAUCGGAGAGCGAUGAGCCCCUGCCGUUAAACCCCCAACUUUCCAAGGUUGACCUCAGAUCAGGUAGGAAUACCCGCUGAACUUAAGCAUAUCAAUAAGCGGAGGA